AUUGAACGCUGGCGGCAGGCCUAACACAUGCAAGUCGAGCGGAUGAAGGGAGCUUGCUCCUGGAUUCAGCGGCGGACGGGUGAGUAAUGCCUAGGAAUCUGCCUGGUAGUGGGGGAUAACGUCCGGAAACGGGCGCUAAUACCGCAUACGUCCUGAGGGAGAAAGUGGGGGAUCUUCGGACCUCACGCUAUCAGAUGAGCCUAGGUCGGAUUAGCUAGUUGGUGGGGUAAAGGCCUACCAAGGCGACGAUCCGUAACUGGUCUGAGAGGAUGAUCAGUCACACUGGAACUGAGACAAGGUCCAGACUCCUACGGGAGGCAGCAGUGGGGAAUAUUGGAAAAUGGGCGAAAGCCUGAACCAGCCAUGCCGCGUGUGUGAAGAAGGUCUUCGGAUUGUAAAGCACUUUAAGUUGGGAGGAAGGGCAGUAAGUUAAUACCUUGCUGUUUUGACGUUACCAACAGAAUAAGCACCGGCUAACUUCGUG
RNAcentral lists this ribosomal RNA (484 nucleotides) under uncultured bacterium. RNAcentral describes it as "partial 16S ribosomal RNA". It matches the Rfam family "Bacterial small subunit ribosomal RNA", at positions 30 to 507 of the family's 1533-position model. The record is from RNAcentral.